RNAcentral lists this long non-coding RNA (952 nucleotides) under Homo sapiens (human). RNAcentral describes it as "HSALNT0398395". The record is from RNAcentral. Lineage: Eukaryota; Metazoa; Chordata; Mammalia; Primates; Hominidae.
ACCAAAGGAUCGUUCUCCAGGGCCAACAGUCGUACAAAAAGCCGGUGUAGGUAUGUCCGGCCAGAGGUAGACGGCCCGCGGGGCCAAUCGGAGUGCAGGCAGGGCAGCAGGCCCCGCCUCCGAAACAACAGAAAGCACUUGACAGGCUUGCUCUCCAAUGAGAAGCCCCGGAAAAGUGUCGCGCGGAGGCGGAGCCACGCGGUACAGCCACCUCUGCGCCUGCUCAAAGGCCCUGGACACUUGGAGUCUAGACACCCGAGUUCAGAGCCAGCCUCCAAGAGUAUCUUACAUCCCAGCGUCUCCUGGAAGGCCGUAUGAUCCAGCACUGGGGAGAGGAGGGAAAUCCCCAGGACUCGAAUGCCCAUCCCACCCUUGGUGUAGUGAGGACUCAUCCUGCUGGAAAGGCCCCUGAAGAACUUCAAGUUCCAAUAUCCCGUUUUUACAGAUGGGGAAACUGACAUGAAGAGGAGUCCAAAGUGACACAGUCAGGCCAGAAAUGUUGCUUCUGAAGUCCUGAGUCCACCUCCUAGCACUGCCAAGCAGUCCACCUGGAGGUGAUGAGAACUUCCAGGCUUUGGUAAUGGACAACUCUGUAUCCCUGGAGCCUUCAUUCCUUUUGGCAUUACAGAACCACAAGAAGUCAUCUAGAAUCAUUGAGAUUCUCAACUCCAUUGGGCAAACUGGAACCAGCAAAAUCUCAGAUAUCUAGAAUUGCCACUGCUUCCUUGACUCUGUGAUCAGUCUACAGCCACAGAAUCCUGAUUCCCUUUGGACAUUCUAGAAUGGCACUUUAAAAAAAAACAACCCACCCAGUGGAUCCUUUCAAAGCACUGCUUAUUCUCUUGGCUGGGUGCUCUACAGCCAGAAGUUGGAGUUAUCUAAUAUCAAGAACUCUUAAUCUGUCACUUCAGUCUUUCUAAACCCACAGACUAACAAUGUUUUGUGCAUUCUA